Molecule: ribosomal RNA, 443 nt
Filed under: uncultured bacterium
Lineage: Bacteria
Description: partial 16S ribosomal RNA
Rfam family: Bacterial small subunit ribosomal RNA
Source: RNAcentral
CCUACGGGAGGCAGCAGUGGGGAAUAUUGGGCAAUGGGCGCAAGCCUGACCCAGCAACGCCGCGUGAAGGAAGAAGGCUUUCGGGCUGUAAACUUCUUUUCUCAGGGACGAAGAAAGUUACGGUACCUGAGGAAUAAGCCACGGCUAACUACGUCCCAGCGGCGGCGGUAAUACGUAGGUGGCAAGCGUUAUCCGGAUUUAUUGGGUGUAAGGGGCGUGUAGGCGGGAGCGUAAGUCAGAUGUGAAAACUCAGGGCACAACCCUGGGCCUGCAUUUGAAACUGUGUUUCUUGAGUGCUGGAGAGGCAAGCGGAAUGCCGGGUGUAGCGGUGAAAUGCGUAGAUAUACGGAGGAACACCAGUGGCGAAGGCGGAUUGCUGGACAGUAACUGACGCUGAGGCGCGAAAGCGUGGGGAGCAAACAGGAUUAGAUACCCCAGUAGUC